CGCCUCUUGAACUCACCAUAUAAGAGGUCCUGCCUGCCCGGUGACAUAAGUUUAACGGCCGCGGUAUUUUGACCGUGCAAAGGUAGCGCAAUCACUUGUCUUUUAAAUGGGGACCUGUAUGAACGGCAGAACGAGGGCAUGACUGUCUCCCUUUUUUAACCAAUGAAAUUGAUCUUCCCGUGCAGAAGCGGGAAUUUAAACAUAAGACGAGAAGACCCUGUGGAGCUUUAGACAACAGGCCAGGCCAGGACCAUUAUUUUUAAUUAAAGUAAAAAACUAAACUUAAGCACUGUCCCUUUGUCUUCGGUUGGGGCGACCACGGAGAAAAAGAAAACCUCCACGCGGAACGAAUUACUUCCUUUAAAGCCAAGAGCCACUACUCUAAGCAACAAAAAUUUUGGCCGAAUAAAAGAUCCGGCAAAGCCGAUCAACGAACCAAGUUACCCCAGGGAUAACAGCGCAAUCCCCUUUUAGAGCCCAUAUCGACAAGGGGGUUUACGACCUCGAUGUUGGAUCAGGACAUCCUAAUGGUGCAGCCGCUAUUAAGGGUUCGUUUGUUCAACGAUUAAUAGUCCU
Molecule: ribosomal RNA, 576 nt
Filed under: Amsichthys knighti (bugeye dottyback)
Lineage: Eukaryota; Metazoa; Chordata; Actinopteri; Pseudochromidae
Description: partial 16S ribosomal RNA
Rfam family: Bacterial large subunit ribosomal RNA
Source: RNAcentral